GAUGAACGCUGGCGGCGUGCCUAAUACAUGCAAGUCGAGCGAACAGACGAGGAGCUUGCUCCUCUGACGUUAGCGGCGGACGGGUGAGUAACACGUGGAUAACCUACCUAUAAGACUGGGAUAACUUCGGGAAACCGGAGCUAAUACCGGAUAAUAUAUUGAACCGCAUGGUUCAAUAGUGAAAGACGGUUUUGCUGUCACUUAUAGAUGGAUCCGCGCCGCAUUAGCUAGUUGGUAAGGUAACGGCUUACCAAGGCGACGAUGCGUAGCCGACCUGAGAGGGGGAUCGGCCACACGGGAACUGAGACACGGUCCAGACUCCUACGGGAGGCAGCAGUAGGGAAUCUUCCGCAAUGGGCGAAAGCUUGACGGAGCAACGCCGCGUGAGUGAUGAAGGUCUUCGGAUCGUAAAACUCUGUUAUUAGGGAAGAACAACUGUGUAAGUAACUAUGCACGUCUUGACGGUACCUAAUCAGAAAGCCACGGCUAACUACGUG
Molecule: ribosomal RNA, 497 nt
Filed under: uncultured bacterium
Lineage: Bacteria
Description: partial 16S ribosomal RNA
Rfam family: Bacterial small subunit ribosomal RNA
Source: RNAcentral